Small nucleolar RNA from Solanum dulcamara, 107 nucleotides. Lineage: Eukaryota; Viridiplantae; Streptophyta; Magnoliopsida; Solanales; Solanaceae. The record is from RefSeq and is a predicted model, not a curated record.
UGAUGAUGGUGAGGACAACUAAUAAGUAGAGAUUUGAACCUAUCCCAAGCUUGGUAUAAAUUCUCUCCAUACUUCUAUUUAAAGCUCAAGAUUUCGGCUCUUAAUUU